UUUGACUCAAUCCAAUAUUCAUUUUCGAUAUUUUCGUUCCCCUAAUACAUCAAUUUCAUUAUCACCAUUCAAUAUAUGGUUUGAUCUCAAUUUCGAGAAUGAUUCAUAAUUUCAAUACAUUGGUCCAAAAUUCAAAACCACAUUCCAAUUUACACAAUACCAUUAUAUAACCACUACAAUUUCCAAUCAAAAGUUACAAGGUGAUAUUUCCACAUACAUUUCAUAAACUACACAACCAUUACAACCAUUUCAUUACAUUUCAAAUUCAAUAAUCUCAUACAUUUCAAAGUCCGAAACAGCUCCAUUGCAUUUUAUCAUCCAAGAUUCCAAGCAAGCCCUGAACUAAGCAACUCGCAUCCAAGCGGUUAACCUGCACUCAAAGUAUAAAAAUCAGUGAACCAAAGCGGUUAACCUGCACCCGGCAACUGAAACAAAAAACAAUAGAAAUAACAACUUUCAUGACAACUUUUAAACCUCCAACCUUCAUAACCAAAGCUACGAUGAUACUGCCAACCGACACAAAACUUUGCAGCCCUCCAAAAGGAAACAAUCUUGAACAGAGCCUAAAAUAACCAAAAUGCUAAGAGAACAAUAACAAAAUCCUUUUCUAACAAACCCAUAAGCUCUCCCGAACAAAAUUCUUCAAAACUGAAAUUCCCUCCAACAAUUCAGAGGCUAACCAAUCCCAACAGAAUAUAACAGAAUUCAUAACUAGCUAACCGACUCCUCAACUAUGGUAACCAAUCAUAACAACUUUUGUCAACUCUAACAAACUCCACAACUAAUAAAAUUCCAACAAACUUCAGCAAACUGUUUACAACAGAAUAACUUCCCCAUUUUUCUCUAGCCACCAUAACACAACCUCUAACUAACUUCACUCCAUCAUCUUCACCAUCAUUCAACAACUCUUCUCCACCCUCAUAAAAACCUUGAUACCCUCCAUUUUCAUCUUCCAAUCACACGAUCAACCAUUCCUCACUCCCUCUUCACCCUGCUAACAAAGCUGAACAACUUCAUCACAAAACCAAUCUUCUCCACUCUCCAUCACACUUAACAUAACCUUUAUCAUUGUCCUCGAUAACCAACCCCAAUUCUGCAACCUGCAGAACCUCCACAACCACCGAUCAAACUUCACCCUGGAACAACUCCCCUUUCUAAACCUAUGCCCUGAAAACGAGUCGGUACGUGGAGAGCCUCAAAUCCUCGUGGACGACGUGUUGAUGACGAGGGUACGGGGGGACGCGCGAUCCACUUCGUCUUACUUCAGCUGUGAUUCCCACAUGUGCUUAGAGGAUUUCACCACCUCGGAUUGGAUAUUGGAGGUGCGGUUGUUGGUUCUUCAGUGAACUGGUAUUUCUCGAAAGACUUGGGCCUUUGGCCCAAGCAAGUUUUCGCUUCUUG
This 1401-nucleotide long non-coding RNA is filed under the name Lathyrus oleraceus (garden pea). Its description in RNAcentral is "Pisum sativum (pea) long non-coding RNA (PSAT_LNC009434)". The record is from RNAcentral. Lineage: Eukaryota; Viridiplantae; Streptophyta; Magnoliopsida; Fabales; Fabaceae.